AAUUUGAGAAUGUAAACAACGAAGAGUCCAGGCAUCGAAAGACCGUAAUUCUUCAGCUUGUUAGGAUGAUUUAACCGAUUCUUACUUGUGUAAAAGUGUAAUAACAUGUUUUCCUGUUAAAUUUGCUCUGUUUGAUUGGAUAAUUCCACAGGAACCGUCGACCGCGGACUUGAAUAGAUGAUGUGCGAGAACAUAGAAUGGAUUUGCCUGCACUCAUGCGUCAUCACAGUGUAAAGGAUUUUAAUCUAAAAAGACAACCCUGCUUAUUUCAGCUGUACAGAUUGCAGUUCAUCUCAGAUGCUGUUAGACUAAAUAAUGAAAGAUGUUCAAACCAGUUUUAAAGAGUCCUAAGUCUGAAAUCAUGGUGCUUUUAUUAAGGAGAUCAGUGCUUUUUUCUGUGCAUUGUUGACAUUUGUGAUACUGUUCGGUUUAUGACCAUCUCUCUGACAAUAACUCUGACACUUGAAAUUCAGUUUGAGCGACAGAUAAGGAAGUCAAAUCAUAUGCAUGUAAAACAUUAUACAACUGUUAUAAAAACAUUGAUAAACUUAAAUUUAAACAAAGUACAUGUACAUGUAUCUGUGAUCUUGGCAUUGAAAUUCAUCCUGUACAUGGAUACUUUUAAUGAAUUUGUCUCAUGGUAAUGGAAUAUUAAAUUGUUAAACAUUGUUGAGGAAUCACCCUGAAUAAAAAUAUUUUGAACUUGAUCAAAUAUUUUUUCCUCAUUUAAACACUGACAAAUUUAAGAUCAAAUGUCAAGGUCAAAUACAAAG
Molecule: long non-coding RNA, 773 nt
Organism: Saccostrea cuccullata (small rock oyster)
Lineage: Eukaryota; Metazoa; Mollusca; Bivalvia; Ostreida; Ostreidae
Exons: 3
Source: RefSeq, a predicted model, not a curated record